AUGGGGGUCGGCAUGAGCAGCGGCCGGCAGGACUUCGCCGGCCGGACGCUGCCGCUGUUGGCUGUGCAGAUGCUUCUACAGUACGGCCCGGCCGGCGCAAGCCGCCCGCCCCUGACGGCCGCGCUGGUCGCCGCCAACGCGCUGGUGUACUUCCGCCCGGGCGCCGUCGACGCGCACCUACCCCGGCUCCGGCACGUCAUGUUCAACCCCCACCUCAUCAUCAAGUUCGGUGACCUGAGACGUUUCUUCCUCUCAGCUUUCUACCACUUGUGUGAAGGUCACUUCUUCAUGAACAUGGCUUCUCUCUUGCGCACGGGGGCAAAGCUUGAAACAUCAACUGGCAGUCCUGAGUUUGCUUGCAUGGUGGUUUCCUUGCUUGGCCUUUCUCAGGGCUUCACACUGCUCUUGUCUAAAGGCUUGCUUUCGCUCGGCAACGACAUGGCGUAUUAUCAAUAUUCUGCUGGAUUUAGUGGAGUGCUGCUUGGCAUGAAUGUUGUGCUGAAUGCCCGAGAAGGCGAUGUUGUCUGGCAUGGGGUGACCGUUCCUGCAAAGUAUGCGGCAUUGCUUGAACUACUACUCGUCCAUGCUUUCAAUCCGGAGGCACACUUGAUUUGCAAUGUUGGUGGGAUACUUGCUGGCCUGGCCUACCUUUUGCUGAGGCACGGUCCAGAACGGCUCGCUCCCAUGUUUUCAGGAAUUGCAGACGUUGUGAGUCAGCCGGCGAGAUUUGCUAAGAAACUUCUGAGGUCAGCAGCACAUGGUCGGGGGAGCAGUGUCCGGCGCCAUGUUGCACCUGCGCAAGAAGAGGUUGGGCAAGGUAUGCGGUGGAGAUGCAUAACAUGUUCUUGUGACAACUCGCGUCACGCAGAUGUCUGCGAGAUGUGCAGCACUCCGCACCCGGACCAUGCCUUUUCCCGCAGACGGCAUCUCCAAGACGGUGGAAACAACGAGCUCUCAGUCGAGGAGAUCCGCCGUAGGAGGCUUGAAAGAUUUGGAGGAUGA
This 1002-nucleotide ribosomal RNA is filed under the name Triticum aestivum (bread wheat). RNAcentral describes it as "partial small subunit ribosomal RNA". The record is from RNAcentral. Lineage: Eukaryota; Viridiplantae; Streptophyta; Magnoliopsida; Poales; Poaceae.